AUUGAACGCUGGCGGCAUGCCUUACACAUGCAAGUCGAACGGCAGCACGGGGGCAACCCUGGUGGCGAGUGGCGAACGGGUGAGUAAUACAUCGGAACGUGCCCGAUAGUGGGGGAUAGCUCGGCGAAAGCCGGAUUAAUACCGCAUACGACCUACGGGUGAAAGCGGGGGAUCGCAAGACCUCGCGCUAUCAGAGCGGCCGAUGUCAGAUUAGGUUGUUGGUGGGGUAAAGCCACCAAGCCGACGAUCUGUAGCUGGUCUGAGAGGACGACCAGCCACACUGGGACUGAGACACGGCCCAGACUCCUACGGGAGGCAGCAGGUGGGGAAUUUUGGACAAGUGGGACGAAAGCCUGAUCCAGCCAUGCCGCGUGCGGGAAGAAGGCCU
This 388-nucleotide ribosomal RNA is filed under the name uncultured bacterium. Its description in RNAcentral is "bacterial SSU rRNA". It matches the Rfam family "Bacterial small subunit ribosomal RNA", at positions 29 to 417 of the family's 1533-position model. The record is from RNAcentral.